ACCUACUUGGCUAAUGGCUCCCAGCACUCCUCUAUCUCUUUUGAAGCAGGGUGGUAUAAUAGUUUGGACAGACUUCCUGAAUUAGAAACCCAGCUUUAUUGCUUUCUGAUAUUCAGUUUGGGGCAAUUUAGGGUCUGUGUAACACACUACCCUGUCAGUGUUUUAUCCAAGGAAAAUUUAAUGUAAAUUGUUAGCUCAUCAAUGAUGUAAAUUUUAACUAUUAAAAGGGGUAAAAGAGGUUUCUACAGGAAGUAGCAGGUCAAAAAAACAGGCACUGCUUUUGGCUGAGGGAAAAUGGACCAUAAUGGAAGUAGGAGUGAAGCCCUGCUCUUACUUUAAGGUUGAGAUGCAGUUCUCUUGGAAGAACAUGUGGCUAUUCAUUCAUUUGUUGAAGGGCACCUAGGUUGGUUCCAUAGCUUAGCUAUUGUGAAUUGAGCUACUAUAGAUAUUGAUGUAACUGUGUCACUAUAGUAUGCUGAUUGUAAGUUCUUUGGAUAUACACCAAGCAGAGGGAUAACUGGGUCAAAUGGUGGUUCCAUUGCAAGUUUUCUGAAGAAUUUCCAUACUGUGUUCCAGAAUGCUUGCACCAAUUUACAGUCCCAACUGCAAUGAUAAAUAAAAUGUGGUAUAUAUACACAAUGGAAUAUUCCUCAGCCAUAAAGAAGAAUGAAAUUAUGGCAUUUGCUGGUAAGUGGAUGAAACUGGAGACCACUAGGCUAAGUGAAAUAAGCCAAUCCCCAAAAAACAAAAGUUGAAUGUUUUCUCUGAUAUGUGGAUACUAACACACAAUAAGGUGGGGGGAGAAAAUAGACAUUCAGUGGAUUAGACAAAGGGGAAUGAAGGGAAGGGAGAGGGAAUGGGAAUAGAAAAGACAGUAGAAUGAAUAGGACAUAACUUUCCUAUGUUUGUAUAUGAAUAUGGAACCAGUGAAAUUCCACAUCAUAAUGCAAGAAUGGGAUCCUAAUUAGAAUAAGUUAUACUCCAUGUAUGUAUAAUAUGUCAAAAUACACUCUACUGUCAUGUAUACCUAAAAUGAACAAAUAAAAAUAUACUUUUACAGAAAAAGAAAAUAUGUGGCUACCACAAGAACACAGCCUAUUAGUGUCAAAAGACUUUUCAGAAGGUGAGGACCCCAAGCCAGUCUGCAGAAGCAUGGAGCUUCUGCAGUGGUCUGGGUAUGCAGUUGGAACUCUGUCAAGCUGACCCCUGGGCUCCCUGCUGAUAGUAACAAUGGAGGACCACCACCUGUUUAGGAAGGGUCUUCCUGAGGUAAUG
Molecule: long non-coding RNA, 1275 nt
Filed under: Marmota monax (woodchuck)
Lineage: Eukaryota; Metazoa; Chordata; Mammalia; Rodentia; Sciuridae
Source: RNAcentral